UACAGAGGUGGCAAGCGUUGUUCGGAAUUACUGGGCGUAAAGGGCGCGUAGGCGGCCUACUAAGUCAGACGUGAAAUCCCCCGGCUUAACCUGGGAACUGCGUCUGAUACUGGAUGGCUUGAAUUCGGGAGAGGGAUGCAGAAUUCCAGGUGUAGCGGUGAAAUGCGUAGAUAUCUGGAGGAAUACCGGUGGCGAAGGCGGCAUCCUGGACCGAGAUUGACACUGAUGAGCGAAAGCUAGGGGAGCAAACGGG
RNAcentral lists this ribosomal RNA (253 nucleotides) under uncultured bacterium. RNAcentral's name for it is "partial 16S ribosomal RNA". It matches the Rfam family "Bacterial small subunit ribosomal RNA", at positions 524 to 776 of the family's 1533-position model. The record is from RNAcentral.